AAAUCCCGGUGGCACUCGUCUCCUUCCAGAAUGCACCCCUGAAAAAAAAAGUGGAAUAGUCCACAAGUCACAUGGUUCACCGAAAGUUGCAUCGUUCGGAACCUUCUGCCGGCCAUGGGAAGAGCAAAUCGGGUGAGGUGCAUCGCCCCACCCUGACAGUCUUCCCCCCCUCCAAAGACCAGCUGGAGACGGGCAAAGGCACGGCCGUGUGCACGGCCAGCGGGGGUUUACCCUCAUCCUGGACCCUGGGCUGGAAGGUGGGCGGCGCCCCUGAAACCUCGGGGGUGUCGCACAGCCCUGUGGGAGAGCCGGGCGCGGGUGGGCGCUUUAGCUGGACCAGCACCCUGACCCUCACCGCAGACCAGUGGAGCAAGUCCCCGUCGGUGAGCUGCGAGGCCACCCUGGCCGGACAGAACCCUGUCACGCAAACCCUGCCGGACCCGGGAAACUGCUCGCAGUAGAGCCCGAGUCCGAACCCAAGCGGGAGCCAUUGUCGUCGCAAAGUUGAAGCUUAAUGAAAUAAAAUGUAUGAUGAU
Molecule: non-coding RNA, 536 nt
Organism: Syngnathoides biaculeatus (alligator pipefish)
Lineage: Eukaryota; Metazoa; Chordata; Actinopteri; Syngnathiformes; Syngnathidae
Source: the annotation of a RefSeq genome assembly